UAGCCUACUGACCUUGAACUUGUGAUUCUCC
RNAcentral lists this non-coding RNA (31 nucleotides) under Mus musculus (house mouse). The record is from RNAcentral. Lineage: Eukaryota; Metazoa; Chordata; Mammalia; Rodentia; Muridae.